RNAcentral lists this ribosomal RNA (875 nucleotides) under Actinomycetales bacterium SN12. RNAcentral's name for it is "bacterial LSU rRNA". It matches the Rfam family "Bacterial large subunit ribosomal RNA", at positions 2056 to 2925 of the family's 2925-position model. Lineage: Bacteria; Bacillati; Actinomycetota; Actinomycetes; Actinomycetales. The record is from RNAcentral.
AAGAUGCUCGUUACGCGCAGCAGGACGGAAAGACCCCGUGACCUUUACUACAGCUUGGUAUUGGUGUUCGGUGUGGCUUGUGUAGGAUAGGUGGGAGACUGUGAAACCGUGACGCCAGUUACGGUGGAGUCAUUGUUGAAAUACCACUCUGGUCAUAUUGGAUAUCUAACUUCGAACCGUGAUCCGGUUCAGGGACAGUGCCUGGUGGGUAGUUUAACUGGGGCGGUUGCCUCCCAAAAAGUAACGGAGGCGCCCAAAGGUUCCCUCAACCUGGUUGGCAAUCAGGUGGCGAGUGUAAGUGCACAAGGGAGCUUGACUGUGAGACUGACAGGUCGAGCAGGGACGAAAGUCGGGACUAGUGAUCCGGCAGUGGCUUGUGGAAGCGCUGUCGCUCAACGGAUAAAAGGUACCUCGGGGAUAACAGGCUGAUCUUGCCCAAGAGUCCAUAUCGACGGCAUGGUUUGGCACCUCGAUGUCGGCUCGUCGCAUCCUGGGGCUGGAGUAGGUCCCAAGGGUUGGGCUGUUCGCCCAUUAAAGCGGUACGCGAGCUGGGUUUAGAACGUCGUGAGACAGUUCGGUCCCUAUCCGCUGCGCGCGUAGGAAGUUUGAGAGGAUCUGACCCUAGUACGAGAGGACCGGGUUGGACGAACCUCUGGUGUGCCAGUUGUUCCGCCAGGAGCACCGCUGGUUAGCUACGUUCGGGAUGGAUAACCGCUGAAAGCAUCUAAGCGGGAAGCCGGCCUCAAGAUGAGACUUCCAUACCCCUCGGGGUGAGAGGCUCCCAGCCAGACGACUGGGUUGAUAGGCCAGAUGUGGAAGCGUGGCAACACGUGCAGCUGACUGGUACUAAUAAGCCGAUGACUUGAUAACACUCC